AAAAGUUUGAGGCAAUUCAGGAAAGAACGAUAGGAAUGCAGCGUGAUCUGGAAAAUAUGCCCCUUUUCUGUCGGCAUCAUGGGAGAACUAAGGAACUCGUAGCCAAUUGACCAUAAGAUUAAGGUUUGAAUGAGCAAACUAACCAAAGGACAAAGCACAGGAAACCUUGACUUCGGUGUCUGCAUCCCACUGCCCUUUGGUAAGUCCCACAAAGUGUUUCCUCC
Molecule: long non-coding RNA, 224 nt
Filed under: Gallus gallus (chicken)
Lineage: Eukaryota; Metazoa; Chordata; Aves; Galliformes; Phasianidae
Source: RNAcentral